Molecule: ribosomal RNA, 321 nt
Filed under: Triticum aestivum (bread wheat)
Lineage: Eukaryota; Viridiplantae; Streptophyta; Magnoliopsida; Poales; Poaceae
Description: partial small subunit ribosomal RNA
Source: RNAcentral
AUGGCCCGAUCUACAAAAAGAGUUUGGUGGCAUCUAGUGGCUCUACAUGGCGAUCUAAUCGCCGCCAUAGGUGCUUCACGGUCUGACAUGAGGAAAAAAGAGGCAUUGCAUCCCGUGGCUCUACAUGGCGAUCAAAUCGUCGCCACGGAUGUGUUACGGUUUGAUAUAAAAAAUAAAAAGGAACGUUAUAACAUCUCGCGGCUCUACCUGACGCUUCAAUCGUCGCCGCAGACAUUUCAUGGCCAAGUGAUUUUCAAGCAUUUUGGGUUUAUCCAUCAGUUAAGGCUAUGGAUUCAUGUUGAUAGACAAAACUAUAUAUAG